This 790-nucleotide ribosomal RNA is filed under the name uncultured bacterium. Its description in RNAcentral is "bacterial SSU rRNA". It matches the Rfam family "Bacterial small subunit ribosomal RNA", at positions 72 to 872 of the family's 1533-position model. The record is from RNAcentral.
CUCGGUGCUUGCACCGGGUGAUCAGUGGCGAACGGGUGAGUAACACGUGAGCAACCUGCCCCCGACCCUGGGAUAACCCCGAGAAAUCGGAGCUAAUACCGGAUACGAGACGCACAGGCAUCUGUAGCGUCUGGAAAGAUUCAUCGGUCAGGGAUGGGCUCGCGGCCUAUCAGCUAGUUGGUGAGGUAGUGGCUCACCAAGGCGACGACGGGUAGCCGGCCUGAGAGGGCGACCGGCCACACUGGGACUGAGACACGGCCCAGACUCCUACGGGAGACAGCAGUGGGGAAUAUUGCACAAUGGGCGCAAGCCUGAUGCAGCGACGCCGCGUGGGGGAUGAAGGCCUUCGGGUUGUAAACCCCUUUCAGCAGGGAAGAAGCGAAAGUGACAGUACCUGCAGAAGAAGCGCCGGCUAACUACGUGCCAGCAGCCGCGGUAAUACGUAGGGCGCAAGCGUUGUCCGGAUUUAUUGGGCGUAAAGAGCUCGUAGGCGGUUUGUCGCGUCUGCUGUGAAAACCCGAGGCUCAACCUCGGGCCUGCAGUGGGUACGGGCAGACUAGAGUGCGGUAGGGGAGACUGGAAUUCCUGGUGUAGCGGUGGAAUGCGCAGAUAUCAGGAGGAACACCGAUGGCGAAGGCAGGUCUCUGGGCCGCAACUGACGCUGAGGAGCGAAAGCAUGGGGAGCGAACAGGAUUAGAUACCCUGGUAGUCCAUGCCGUAAACGUUGGGCACUAGGUGUGGGGCUCAUUCCACGAGUUCCGUGCCGCAGCAAACGCAUUAAGUGCCCCGC